GGAAGGAUCAUUACUGAGUGAGGGCCCUCUGGGUCCAACCUCCCACCCGUGUUUAACGAACCUUGUUGCUUCGGCGGGCCCGCCUCACGGCCGCCGGGGGGCAUCCGCCCCCGGGCCCGCGCCCGCCGAAGACACCUGUGAACUCUGUCUGAAGUUGCAGUCUGAGAAACUAUUUAAAUUAGUUAAAACUUUCAACAACGGAUCUCUUGGUUCCGGCAUCGAUGAAGAACGCAGCGAAAUGCGAUAAAUAAUGUGAAUUGCAGAAUUCAGUGAAUCAUCGAGUCUUUGAACGCACAUUGCGCCCUCUGGUAUUCCGGAGGGCAUGCCUGUCCGAGCGUCAUUGCUGCCCUCAAGCACGGCUUGUGUGUUGGGCCCCGUCCCCCCCCUCCCGGGGGGACGGGCCCGAAAGGCAGCGGCGGCACCGCGUCCGGUCCUCGAGCGUAUGGGGCUUUGUCACCCGCUCUUGUAGGCCCGGCCGGCGCUUGCCGACCCCCUCAAUCUAUUUUUCAGGUUGACCUCGGAUCAGGUAGGGAUACCCGCUGAACUUAAGCAUAUCAAUAAGCGGAGGAAAAGAAACCAACCGGGAUUACCCUAGUAACGGCGAGUGAAGCGGUAAGAGCUCAAAUUUGAAAGCUGGCUCCUUCGGGGUCCGCAUUGUAAUUUGCAGAGGAUGCUUCGGGAGCGGUCCCCAUCUAAGUGCCCUGGAACGGGCCGUCAUAGAGGGUGAGAAUCCCGUAUGGGAUGGGGUGCCCGCGCCCGUGUGAAGCUCCUUCGACGAGUCGAGUUGUUUGGGAAUGCAGCUCUAAUUGGGUGGUAAAUUUCAUCUAAAGCUAAAUAUUGGCCGGAGACCGAUAGCGCACAAGUAGAGUGAUCGAAAGAUGAAAAGCACUUUGAAAAGAGAGUUAAAAAGCACGUGAAAUUGUUGAAAGGGAAGCGCUUGCGAUCAGACUCGCUCGCGGGGUUCAGCCGGCCUUCGGGCCGGUGUACUUCCCCGCGGGCGGGCCAGCGUCGGUUUGGGCGGCCGGUCAAAGGCCCCUGGAAUGUAACGCCUCUCGGGGCGUCUUAUAGCCAGGGGUGCCAUGCGGCCUGCCCGGACCGAGGAACGCGCUUCGGCUCGGACGCUGGCAUAAUGGUCGUAAGCGACCCGUCUUGAAACACGGACCAAGGAGUCUAACAUCUACGCGAGUGUUCGGGUGUCAAACCCGUGCGCGCAGUGAAAGCGAACGGAGGUGGGAACCCUUUGGGUGCACCAUCGACCGAUCCUGAUGUCUUCGGAUGGAUUUGAGUAAGAGCGUAGCUGUUGGGACCCGAAAGAUGGUGAACUAUGCCUGAAUAGGGCGAAGCCAGAGGAAACUCUGGUGGAGGCUCGCAGCGGUUCUGACGUGCAAAUCGAUCGUCAAAUUUGGGUAUAGGGGCGAAAGACUAAUCGAACCAUCUAGUAGCUGGUUCCUGC
RNAcentral lists this unclassified non-coding RNA (1453 nucleotides) under uncultured fungus. RNAcentral's name for it is "sequence contains 18S rRNA gene, ITS1, 5.8S rRNA gene, ITS2, 28S rRNA gene". The stretch from base 513 to 1453 matches the Rfam family "Eukaryotic large subunit ribosomal RNA", at positions 1 to 961 of the family's 3401-position model. Lineage: Eukaryota; Fungi. The record is from RNAcentral.